RNAcentral lists this ribosomal RNA (740 nucleotides) under uncultured archaeon. Its description in RNAcentral is "bacterial SSU rRNA". It matches the Rfam family "Archaeal small subunit ribosomal RNA", at positions 1 to 750 of the family's 1478-position model. The record is from RNAcentral.
UUCCGGUUGAUCCUGCCGGACCCGACUGCUAUCAGAGUGAGAUUAAGCCAUGCGAGUCGACGUAGCAAUGCGUGGCGAACGGCUCAGUAACACGUAGUCAACAUGCCCAGGGGACGUGGAUAACCUCGGGAAACUGAGAAUAAACCACGAUAGGUCACGAUUUCUGGAAUGGAUCAUGGCCUAAAUCUACAUGGCCCCUGGAUUGGACUGCGGCCGAUCAGGCUGUUGGUGAGGUAAUGGCCCACCAAACCUAUAACCGGUACGGGCUCUGAGAGGAGAAGCCCGGAGAUGGGCACUGAGACAAGGGCCCAGGCCCUAUGGGGCGCAGCAGGCGCGAAACCUCUGCAAUAGGCGAAAGCCUGACAGGGUUACUCUGAGUGAUUUCCGCUAAGGGGAUCUUUUGGCACCUCUAAAAAUGGUGCAGAAUAAGGGGUGGGCAAGUCUGGUGUCAGCCGCCGCGGUAAUACCAGCACCCCGAGUGGUCGGGACGAUUAUUGGGCCUAAAGCAUCCGUAGCCGGUUCUGCAAGUCUUCCGUUAAAUCCAGCCGCUCAACGGAUGGGCCGCGGAGGAUACUACAGGACUAGGAGGCGGGAGAGGCAAGCGGUACUCAGUGGGUAGGGGUAAAAUCCUUUGAUCCAUUGAAGACCACCAGUGGCGAAGGCGGCUUGCCAGAACGCGCUCAACGGUGAGGGAUGAAAGCUGGGGGAGCAAACCGGAUUAGAUACCCGGGUAGUCCCAG